RNAcentral lists this ribosomal RNA (497 nucleotides) under uncultured bacterium. RNAcentral's name for it is "partial 16S ribosomal RNA". It matches the Rfam family "Bacterial small subunit ribosomal RNA", at positions 28 to 507 of the family's 1533-position model. The record is from RNAcentral.
GAUGAACGCUGGCGGCGUGCCUAAUACAUGCAAGUCGAGCGAACAGACGAGGAGCUUGCUCCUCUGACGUUAGCGGCGGACGGGUGAGUAACACGUGGAUAACCUACCUAUAAGACUGGGAUAACUUCGGGAAACCGGAGCUAAUACCGGAUAAUAUAUUGAACCGCAUGGUUCAAUAGUGAAAGACGGUUUUGCUGUCACUGAUAGAUGGAUCCGCGCCGCAUUAGCUAGUUGGUAAGGUAACGGCUUACCAAGGCAACGAUGCGUAGCCGACCCGAGAGGGUGGUCGGCCACACUGGAACUGAGACACGCUCCAGACACCGACGGGAGGCAGCAGUAGGGAAUCCUCCGCAAUGGGCGAGAGCCUGACGGAGCAACGUCGCGUGAGUGAUGAAGGUCUUCGGAUCGUAAAACUCUGUUAUUAGGGAAGAACAAAUGUGUAAGUAACUAUGCACGUCUUGACGGUACCUAAUCAGAAAGCCACGGCUAACUACGUG